AUCAACCACUCACUUAUCGAUCUCCCCGCCCCAUCCAACAUCUCCAUAUGAUGGAACUUCAGCUUGCUUCUUGGUGCCUGCUUAACCCUUCAAAUUAUUACAGGACUAUUCCUAGCUAUACGCUACUCACCAGACGCCUCAACCGCCUUCUCCUCAGUCGUCCACAUCACUCGAGAUGUAAACUAUGGCUGAAUCAUCCGCUACCUCCAUGCCAAUGGCGCCUCAAUAUUUUUCAUCUGCCUCUUCCUACAUAUUGGCCGAGGCCUGUACUAUGGCUUAUUUCUCUACCUAGAAACCUGAAACAUUGGCAUCAUUCUCCUACUCACAACCAUAGCAACAGCCUUCAUAGGCUAGGUACUCCCAUGAGGCCAGAUAUCCUUGAGGGGCCACGGUAAUCACAAAUCUACUGUCCGCCAUUCCUUAUGUCGGAACAGACCUGGUGCAGUGGGUUUGAGGUGGUUAUUCAGUAGACACACCCACUCUCACACGAUUCUUCACCUUCCACUUUAUCCUACCUUUCAUUAUUACAGCCCUAGUAGUCUUACACCUACUAUUUCUCCAUGAGACAGCAUCAAAUAACCCCUCAGGAAUCUCCUCCCACUCCAACAAAAUUACCUUCCACCCCUACUACAUGACCAAAGAUAUCCUAGGCCUAUUUCUCCUCCUUCUCACCCUAAUAACACUAGUACUGUUUUCACCCGACCUCCUAACUGAUCCAGAUAACUACACCCUAGCCAACCGCCUGAAUACUCCACCCCAUAUUAAACCCGAAUGGUAUUUUCUAUCUGCCUACGCAAUCUUAUGAUCCAUCCCCAACAAACUAGGAGGCGUACUGGCCCUCCUACUAUCAAUCCUCAUCCUAGCAGCAAUUCCCACACUUCACAUGUCCAAACAACAAAGCAUAAUAUUCUGUCCACUAAACCAAUUCCUAUAUUGACUCCUAAUUACAGAUCUCCUUAUCCUCACAUGGGUUGGAGGACAACCAGCAAGCUACCCCUUCAUCACCUUCGGACAAACAGCAUUCGUAGUUUACUUUGCUACAAUUCUAGCCCUGAUACCGCUUGCCUCCCUACUCGAAAACAAAAUACUCAAA
This 1093-nucleotide long non-coding RNA is filed under the name Homo sapiens (human). RNAcentral's name for it is "non-protein coding lnc-MTRNR2L1-5:1". The record is from RNAcentral. Lineage: Eukaryota; Metazoa; Chordata; Mammalia; Primates; Hominidae.